RNAcentral lists this long non-coding RNA (9678 nucleotides) under Paramuricea clavata. The record is from RNAcentral. Lineage: Eukaryota; Metazoa; Cnidaria; Anthozoa; Malacalcyonacea; Plexauridae.
UUAUGAAGAAAUGCGAAGAUAGUAUUCUAAUUCAAUAACCUAAAGGAUUCAUCCUGAAAGACUACGGUUAUGUUAUGAUACGCCGAUGCUUCGUGAAUCGCGAACUUUGCAAAUGACUGUUUUGCUCCAAAGUUAAUCUGCUUUGUCUUUUUGCUUUGUAAAUAUUCAGCGAUCUUGGUGUAUGUUUGGUGUGUGUUUAUGAAGAAAUGGGAAGAUAGUAUUCUAAUUAAAUAAUCUAAAGCAUUUGUUCAGAAAAACGACGCUUAUGUAUGUUAAUAUGAUGUGCUAAAAUGGACUGUUGUCUGUUUAUAUUCGCGUUUGUAUACAUGGCUGAUAUUCCCAUCGUUGAUUCCCAAAAAAUACCAUUGCUUACAUCGCUGGAUUGUAGUAUUGUGGAUUGUGAGACAAAAAAACCCCAGUGAAUUCAUCGAUACUAACGACACGGUAAGUGAAUAUCUUUUGAAAAUAGCUUUUGAGUUAUAUACAGUAUGCUUGGAUACACUAUAAACGUUUAAUAAAUGUUUAAAAAGUGUAACGUUUUAUAUGGAUACACUAUAAACCUCUGCCUCCAGCCUCGCAGGGUAAUAUAAACGUUUUUGUAGGUAAAAUCUUAAAAAGUGUACUGUAGAUUUCAAUAAAUGUCUGCAAAGUGUUUGAAGAAAAUUACUAAGUUUAAUACACUAAAUCACUUGGUUCCUCUCUUACAAAUCCAAUGAGAUACAAUUAUUUAAUUCAUGAGUAAUUCUUUAUAUUGUGGUCACAGAAACUUUGAAGUGUAUCAAAUAAGGGGGUGUUUAUCAGGAAGCCGGGGCUGUUCUGCUUAGCGAGGAACCCUGGUAAGCGAGAUCUCACUGUGUAGUUAUUUUUACAGUAAAAAUUACCUUGCCUUUAUAUGAGCAAGUUGGCUGGCCUGGUUGCCAAGAUCUUGCUUGAAAGAAGCGAGAUCUCACUUAUCAGGAUGGCAAUUUUUCCAUAUAAACACUCACAUCAAUGAUGCAGGCUGGCCAGUUUGCCAGGAUAAAAGAUCAAAGAUGCUGCCGCAAGCUAUUUUUAACAACUGUCAAAACAAUGUCACAACAACAAAAUUGCCUUGACAAGCAGGAUGAAAUUUUCUCACAUGAACAGAAAAAAAAUUCAUCCCGAUUACCAGGCUGUCUCGCUAAAUGGGCUAUCCCGGCUUCCAUAUUAAACAGCCCCUAAUAUUACUUUAUAUACCACUUUAAGCCAUUAACCUAUUAGAGUGCAAGACUCUCCCCUUGAAAAGUAAAAUUGUUUGCCGUUAGACAGAGUAAAAGUAAAAAGUAAGGUGCAUUGCUGCUCAAUGGUUUAAGCUGCAGAGCUACCCCAUUGACAAGUAAAAUCAUCUGGCAUUAAGCAAGUAAAAAGAAUAAGUAGGGUGAGCAUUGCAGCUCAAUGGGUUAGUUCAAUUAAUCCUCCUCAAACACUAUAUUUCCAGUUGAAAUUUUAGAAUUUCCAACAGUAGUAGUCUUUUUGGGUCAGUCUUGAAAAGCAGGUUAUAAUAAUCAGCUCCUCUAAAUAUUUCAGUAUAUUAGACAAAAUAUAUUAAUCAUACUCCUGACGGUCUAUGUUUGCAAGUAUAUUUAGUCACUCUGAUAUUAUAAAUGUACGUAGCAGGUGCAACAUGUUACACAACCUUAUGCUUUUCAGCUACAUUCUACCUUCAAGUUUUUAAUAUCACCUACUUCAUUGUUUUAAUCCUAAUCCCCACUGACUUUACUCUUCAAGGAAACAGCACUAAUAAACACUAUAUAUCCCUUUUAACAUCUUGCCCAACAUUCAUUCUCUAAUAUGUAAAAGUUUGCUUUAAUUUCAUUUAAUUGGUCAUGUUAAUAUAUACGUUUGCUUCUACUGCAGUUAUAUAAACGUUCCACCCAGCAGAAUACUUGUAUAUAUACUGUACCUCCUCCAUUAGAUCAACAAGUGUUAUGUGUAUAUCAACAUGUGACAGCCAUUUAAGGCUGCACAACAUUGUUUUAUUAGGUUAAUUUAACAAGUUACAAAGUCAACACUGUAAUCAUAAAACUCAAAAAAAAAAGUUGCUGCGAACACCCCAUUACUAUGACUAAACCCUUUAUAUUCAUUUUAAACUAUUUCCAAACAUUCAUUCUCUAAUGUGGGAAAGGUUGCAUUAAUUUCACUAAUUAUUUUUUGUAUGAGGGCCACAUACUUUAUAGGAUAUGAUCAAAUGAGAUUAAGACUUAAGCCAAAUUUGAAUACUUUGUCAUGUCGUGGUAAUAUAAGUUUGGUUGUACUGAAGUUAUAUAAACAUUCAACCUAGCAUAAUAUUUAUAUAUACUUCUUCUAUUAGCACAACAAGUGUUAUGUGUGUAUCAACAUGUUACAGCCAUUUAAGCAGGUACACUGUUGUUUUAUUAGGCCAAUUAGCAUGUCAUAUUCAUAAAAAAACCUAGUUAAUUAAGGUUGCUGCCAAAGCCCCAUUUCUAUGAGUAAAAACUUUAUAUCAUUUUUUAAAUCUUUCCAAACAUUCAUUCUCUAAUAUGGGAAGGUUUGAAUUAAUUUCAUCAAUUGGUUUUUGUAUGAGAGCCACUUUAUAGGCUGUCAUGAAAUGCGAUUUAGACUUAAGCUAAAUUUGAACACUUUGUCAUGUCAUGGUAAUAUAAGUUUGGUUGUACUGAAGUUAUAUAAACGUUCCACCUAGCAGAAUACUUAUAUAUACCCCUUCUAUUAGCACAACAAGUGUUAUGUGUGUAUCGACAUGUUACAGCCAUUUAAGGUUGUACACUGUUGUUUUAUUAGGCCAAUUAGCAUGUCAUAUUCAUAAAAAAAACCAAUUAAGGUUGCUGCCAAAGUCCCAUUUCUAUCAGUAAAAACUUUAUAUCAUUUUUUAAAUCUUUCCAAACAUUCAUUCUCUAAUAUGCGAGGGUUUGAAUUAAUUUCAUCAAUUGGUUUUUGUAUGAGAGCCACUUUAUAGGGUAUCAUGAAAUGCGAUUUAGACUUAAACCAAAUUUGAACACUUUGUUAUGUCAUGAAUGGCAAUAUAAGUUUGGUUGUACUGAAGUUAUAUAAACGUUCCACCUAGCAGAAUACUUAUAUAUACCUCUUCUAUUAGCACAACGAGUGUUAUGUGUGUAUCGACAUGUUGCAGCCAUUUAAGGUGGUACACUGUUGUUUUAUUAGGGCAAUUAGCAUGUUAUAUUAAAAAAAAACCCAAUUAAGGUUUCUGCCAAAGCCCCAUUACUAUCAGUAAAAACUUUAUAUCGGUUUUAAAAUCUUUCCAAACAUUCAUUCUCUAAUAUGGGAAGGUUUGGGUUAAUUUCAUCACUUGGUUUUUGUAUGAGAGCCACUUUAUAGGCUGUAAUCAAAUGCGAUUUAGACUUAAGUCAAAUUUGAACACUUUGUCAUGUCAUGUCAUGGUAAUAUAAGUUUGGUUAUACUGAAGUUAUAUAAACGUUCCACUUAGCAGAAUACUUAUAGAUACCUCUUCUAUUAGCACAACGAGUGUUAUGUGUGUAUCGACAUGUUGCAGCCAGUUAAGGUGGUACACUGUUGUUUUAGUAGGGCAAUUAGCAUGUUAUAUUUAUAAAAAGACCAAUUAAGGUUUCUGCCAAAGCCCCAUUACUAUGAGUAAAAACUUUAUAUCGGUUUUAAAAUCUUUCCAAACAUUCUCUAAUAUGGGAAGGUUUGGGUUAAUUUCAUCACUUGGUUUUUGUAUGAGAGCCACUUUAUAGGCUGUAAUCAAAUGCGAUUUAGACUUAAGUCAAAUUUGAACACUUUGUCAUGUCAUGCCAGUCAUGGUAAUAUAAGUUUGGUUAUACUGAAGUUAUAUAAACGUUCCACUUAGCAGAAUACUUAUAGAUACCUCUUCUAUUAGCACAACGAGUGUUAUGUGUGUAUCGACAUGUUGCAGCCAGUUAAGGUGGUACACUGUUGUUUUAGUAGGGCAAUUAGCAUGUUAUAUUUAUAAAAAGACCAAUUAAGGUUUCUGCCAAAGCCCCAUUACUAUGAGUAAAAACUUUAUAUCGGUUUUAAAAUCUUUCCAAACAUUCUCUAAUAUGGGAAGGUUUGGGUUAAUUUCAUCACUUGGUUUUUGUAUGAGAGCCACUUGAUAGGCUGUAAUCAAAUGCGAUUUAGACUUAGCUAAAUUUGAACACUUUGUCAUGUCAUGGUAAUAUAAGUUUGGUUGUACUGAAGUUAUAUAAACGUUCCACCUAGCAGAAUACUUAUAUAUACCCCUUCUAUUAGCACAACAAGUGUUAUGUGUGUAUCGACAUGUUACAGCCAUUUAAGGUUGUACACUGUUGUUUUAUUAGGCCAAUUAGCAUGUCAUAUUCAUAAAAAAAACCAAUUAAGGUUGCUGCCAAAGUCCCAUUUCUAUCAGUAAAAACUUUAUAUCAUUUUUUAAAUCUUUCCAAACAUUCAUUCUCUAAUAUGCGAGGGUUUGAAUUAAUUUCAUCAAUUGGUUUUUGUAUGAGAGCCACUUUAUAGGGUAUCAUGAAAUGCGAUUUAGACUUAAACCAAAUUUGAACACUUUGUUAUGUCAUGAAUGGCAAUAUAAGUUUGGUUGUACUGAAGUUAUAUAAACGUUCCACCUAGCAGAAUACUUAUAUAUACCUCUUCUAUUAGCACAACGAGUGUUAUGUGUGUAUCGACAUGUUGCAGCCAUUUAAGGUGGUACACUGUUGUUUUAUUAGGGCAAUUAGCAUGUUAUAUUCAUAAAAAAAACAAUUAAGGUUUCUGCCAAAGCCCCAUUACUAUGAGUAAAAACUUUAUAUCGGUUUUAAAAUCUUUCCCAACAUUCAUUCUCUAAUAUGGGAAGGUUUGGGUUAAAUUCAUCACUUGGUUUUUGUAUGAGAGCCACUUUAUAGGCUGUAAUCAAAUGUGAUUUAGACUUAAGCCAAAUUUGAACACUUUUUCAUGUCAUAGUAGUAUAAGUUUGGUUGUACUGAAGUUAUAUAAACAUUCGACCUAGCAGAAUACUUAUAUAUACCCCUUCUAUUAGCACAACAAGUGUUAUGUGUGUAUCGACAUGUUACAGCCAUUUAAGGUGGUACACUGUUGUUUUAUUAGGCCAAUUAACAUGUUAUAUUCAUAAAAAAAACAAUUAAGGUUACUGCCAAAGCCCCAUUACUAUGAGUAAAAACUUUAUAUCGUUUUUAAAAUCUUUCCAAACAUUCAUUCUCUAAUAUGGGAAGGUUUGGAUUAAUUUCAUCAAUUGGUUUUUGUAUGAGAGCCACUUUAUAGGCUGUUAUCAAAUGCGAUUUAGACUUAAGCCAAAUUUGAACACUUUUUCAUGUCAUAGUAAUAUAAGUUUGGUUGUACUGAAGUUAUAUAAACAUUCCACCUAGCAGAAUACUUAUAUAUACCCCUUCUAUUAGCACAACAAGUGUUAUGUGUGUAUCGACAUGUUACAGCCAUUUAAGGUGGUACACUGUUGUUUUAUUAGGCCAAUUAACAUGUUAUAUUCAUAAAAAAAACAAUUAAGGUUACUGCCAAAGCCCCAUUACUAUGAGUAAAAACUUUAUAUCGUUUUUAAAAUCUUUCCAAACAUUCAUUCUCUAAUAUGGGAAGGUUUGGAUUAAUUUCAUCAAUUGGUUUUUGUAUGAGAGCCACUUUAUAGGCUGUUAUCAAAUGCGAUUUAGACUUAAGCCAAAUUUGAACACUUUUUCAUGUCAUAGUAAUAUAAGUUUGGUUGUACUGAAGUUAUAUAAACAUUCCACCUAGCAGAAUACUUAUAUAUACCCCUUCUAUUAGCACAACAAGUGUUAUGUGUGUAUCGACAUGUUACAGCCAUUUAAGGUGGUACACUGUUGUUUUAUUAGGCCAAUUAACAUGUUAUAUUCAUAAAAAAAACAAUUAAGGUUACUGCCAAAGCCCCAUUACUAUGAGUAAAAACUUUAUAUCGUUUUUAAAAUCUUUCCAAACAUUCAUUCUCUAAUAUGGGAAGGUUUGGAUUAAUUUCAUCAAUUGGUUUUUGUAUGAGAGCCACUUUAUAGGCUGUUAUCAAAUGCGAUUUAGACUUAAGCCAAAUUUGAACACUUUUUCAUGUCAUAGUAAUAUAAGUUUGGUUGUACUGAAGUUAUAUAAACAUUCCACCUAGCAGAAUACUUAUAUAUACCCCUUCUAUUAGCACAACAAGUGUUAUGUGUGUAUCGACAUGUUACAGCCAUUUAAGGUGGUACACUGUUGUUUUAUUAGGCCAAUUAGCAUGUUAUAUUCAUAAAAAAAACAAUUAAGGUUCUGCCAAAGCCCCAUUACUAUGAGUAAAAACUUUAUAUCGUUUUUAAAAUCUUUCCAAACAUUCAUUCUCUAAUAUGGGAAGGUUUGGAUUAAUUUCAUCAAUUGGUUUUUGUAUGAGAGCCACUUUAUAGGCUGUUAUCAAAUGCGAUUUAGACUUAAGCCAAAUUUGAACACUUUUUCAUGUCAUAGUAAUAUAAGUUUGGUUGUACUGAAGUUAUAUAAACAUUCCACCUAGCAGAAUACUUAUAUAUACCCCUUCUAUUAGCACAACAAGUGUUAUGUGUGUAUCGACAUGUUACAGCCAUUUAAGGUGGUACACUGUUGUUUUAUUAGGCCAAUUAACAUGUUAUAUUCAUAAAAAAAACAAUUAAGGUUACUGCCAAAGCCCCAUUACUAUGAGUAAAAACUUUAUAUCGUUUUUAAAAUCUUUCCAAACAUUCAUUCUCUAAUAUGGGAAGGUUUGGAUUAAUUUCAUCAAUUGGUUUUUGUAUGAGAGCCACUUUAUAGGCUGUUAUCAAAUGCGAUUUAGACUUAAGCCAAAUUUGAACACUUUUUCAUGUCAUAGUAAUAUAAGUUUGGUUGUACUGAAGUUAUAUAAACAUUCCACCUAGCAGAAUACUUAUAUAUACCCCUUCUAUUAGCACAACAAGUGUUAUGUGUGUAUCGACAUGUUACAGCCAUUUAAGGUGGUACACUGUUGUUUUAUUAGGCCAAUUAGCAUGUUAUAUUCAUAAAAAACUCAAUUAAGGUUGCUGCCAAAGCCCCAUUUCUAUGAGUAAAAACUUUAUAUCGUUUUUUAAAUCUUUCCAAAUAUUCAUUCUCUAAUAUGGGAAGGUUUGAAUUAAUUUCAUUAAUUGGUUUUUGUAUGAGAGCCACUUUAUAGGCUGUAAUCAAAUGCAAUUUAGACUUAAGCCAAAUUUGAACACUUUUUCAUGUCAUAGCAAUACAAGUUUGGUUGUACUGAAGUUAUAUAAACAUUCGACCUAGCAGAAUAUUUAUAUAUACCCCUUCUAUUAGCACAACAAGUGUUAUGUGUGUAUCGACAUGUUACAGGCAUUUAAGGUGGUACACUGUUGUUUUAUUAGGCCAAUUAGCAUGUUAUAUUCAUAAAAAACUCAGUUAAGGUUGCUGCCAUAGCCCCAUUUCUAUGACUAAAAACUUUAUAUCGUUUUUUAAAUCUUUCCAAACAUUCAUUCUCUAAUAUGGGAAGCUUUGGAUUAAUUUCAUUAAUUGGUUUUUGUAUGAGAGGCACUUUAUAGGCUGGAAUCAAAUGCGAUUUAGACUUAAGCCAAAUUUGAACACUUUUUCAUGUCAUAGUAAUAUAAGUUUGGUUGUACUGAAGUUAUAUAAACAUUCCACCUAGCAGAAUAUUUAUAUAUACCCCUUCUAUUAGCACAACAAGUGUUAUUUGUGUAUCGACAUGUUACAGCCAUUUAAGGUGGUACACUGUUGUUUCAUUAGGCCAAUUAGCAUGUUAUAUUCAUAAAAAAACCCAAUUAAGGUUACUGCCAAAGCCCCAUUACUGUGAGUAAAAACUUAAUAUCGUUUUUAAAAUCUUUCCAAACAUUCAUUCUCUAAUAUGGGAAGGUUUGGAUUAAUUUCAUCAAUUGGUUUUGUAUGAGAGCCACUUUAUAGGCUGUAAUCAAAUGCGAUUUAGACUUAAGCCAAAUUUGAACACUUUGUCAUGUCAUGGUAAUAUAGGUUUGGUUGUACUGAAGUUAUAUAAACGUUUCACCUAACAAAAUACUUGUAGAUACGUUUGCUGUUGGCACAACGAGUAUUAUGCUGGCUAAAUGUUGCUUGAGAAUGUUAACUAUGGUCGUGUUAGCAGUGCAGCCAGAUGUUAAAAAUAUUUUUGCUCUUAAAAGUUUAUCCAAAUAUUGAUUUUAACAUUUUUUUAGGAAAUCUAGAACUCCUCGAGAUUGGCUGGUGAAGUCCUGUGAAUGUGAUUGAAAUUAUUGAAUUGGACCCAUGUGAAGGAAAGAAACUUUGAUUUGAAAAUGUUAUAUAAAAAUGCUUCGAAACUUGUUUGUUAUUUGGUCUUAUUGUAUGUUUAGUAUGUUAUUCAUUUAAAUUUGCAAUAUAUUCUGGUUGUGAGAAUUGCAAGAAUUUUUAUUUUGUACGGAAGUAGAAUGAGACAUAAUGUUUACACUGCGUGGUAUGUUGAAUCUCAAAAUAUGAGCUAUAGACAUGACUUUGUUUUUGUAAUAUUUUGAUUGUAUUUCGAAAUUGUAAAAUUGUUCUUGUAAGGCAUGAAAUUUAGAUAUCGUUAUAGGUUGUUCGCUGGUGGAAAUCAAUUAAGUGUCCGAUUUUCGGAUUGUGUUUUAUUCUACAUGUUUGUAUCCAAAUCCUAAGUCGCAUAAAAUAUGAAAGGCGAACGAAAAGACUUCCAUCCAAUGAUAUUUUUUACCUGUUUCGCCUGUCAAACACGGUAAGACACUGCGUCAAAUACCAGUUUUUCUUACUCAAACGCUAGUUUUCAAUUACAAUUUGUCAGUUUGAUACAUGUGAUAUAUCGCUGUAUCAAAGAACUUGUGUCUUUGCCUGCCAAAAUCAUUAGUGUGUCAUAUCAAUAUUAACCUGGUAAAUCCAAAAUGUAUAAAUAAGUUCUAUAGCUUCAAACGGGUGUAUUACUCAAAUUGCUAUCAUAUAUAGAUAUAAAGUGGAAUUUAUUAGAAUGGAUUGAAAAGAUUUGGGAUAAUCGGGUGUUUUUUCACUGGAUCCUCAAGAUAAAAAUAUACUCGAUAUAUCUCUAUUUUAUCUCUCUUGACUUUUUUCACACUGAAGGAGUACACACUAAACACUCACUGAGCCCCCACCCACCCCUCCCCUUUUAAGCGAUAGAAUACACUCACCCUCUAGGCGACUCACACUCAAGGAAAGCUAAAAAAUUGAGUAAAACGCGAGUGACAUGUAUACGUUCCUCACUCAAUUUUUGAGCUUUCUUAACAAGUGUGAGGGGAGCCUCAGUGAGUGUAAAGUUUCAUUCAUGCAGUUUCAGUGGGUACUCCUUGAGUGCGAAUGAGCUUUUAGAAUACAGGGGUUAGAGAUUUAAACUGUACGGUUGUACUGUACAGUUGGUACGAUCGGAUCACGAUUUUAGAUAUAAACUGUUUCAUCUUUGCGAUUAAUAAUUGAGAACAUUUUUAUACAAUUCGCCUAAUUUCUCGUAUGAUUGUGACAUGAUUUUCAAUUUCUUUCACAAUUUUUUAAUUUUGGGCACCCAAAAGUAAUUCUGUUUGGCUUUGGUAUCACAGGUACAAAAUCGCGAAUUGUGACGAUACAAUACUUUUGUUAUGCUUUAAUACGAUGUUGUUGUUUUUUGUGUCCAAAAGACUCUAUACCGCUUUGACAUUUAUUUUGUAGAAACAUUUUGCUGUAAUAUCAUAAUUAAAUUUCAUAAUUAAAACUGUUGAUUCAUAAUGUAAAUAGGCCUAUGACUUCCAUUCAUUGAGUUAC